RNAcentral lists this ribosomal RNA (497 nucleotides) under uncultured bacterium. Its description in RNAcentral is "partial 16S ribosomal RNA". It matches the Rfam family "Bacterial small subunit ribosomal RNA", at positions 28 to 507 of the family's 1533-position model. The record is from RNAcentral.
GAUGAACGCUGGCGGCGUGCCUAAUACAUGCAAGUCGAGCGAACAGACGAGGAGCUUGCUCCUCUGACGUUAGCGGCGGACGGGUGAGUAACACGUGUAUAACCUACCUAUAAGACUGGGAUAACUUCGGGAAACCGGAGCUAAUACCGGAUAAUAUAUUGAACCGCAUGGUUCAAUAGUGAAAGACGGUUUUGCUGUCACUUAUAGAUGGAUCCGCGCCGCAUUAGCUAGUUGGUAAGGUAACGGCUUACCAAGGGGACGAUGCGUAGCCGACCUGAGAGGGUGAUCGGCCACACUGGAGCUGAGACACGCUCCAGACUCCUACGGGAGGCAGCAGUAGGGAAUCUGCCGCAAUGGGCGAGCGCAUGACAGAGCGACGCCGCGUGAGUGAUGAAAAUCUUCGGAUCGUGAAACUCUGUUAUGAGGGAAGAACAGAUGUGUAAGUAACUAUGCACGUCUUGACGGUACCUAGUCAGAAAGCCACGGCUAACUACGUG